UAAGUAUUUUAGGGUGUUGUCAUCCUUUUCAUCGAUAGGGCUAAGCUUAGUUUGCGUUUUAAAUCCCCGAUAAGUAUUUUAGCGAGUCUCUCAUCGAAUUUUGAAUAUUAUGGUUUAGGGCCCUGUAAAACGUCGAGCUGCACUUCCACUCAGGCUGACCGGCACACUUGAGCAAGGAACGAGGUAAAGGAAAAGCAAAGCUGGAGGAACAGUGAGGUGGAACUCGGCAUGAUUGUACAUAUUGCGGCAGUGCAACCUGGAGGGUUUCGAUUUAUAAAUAUUUUGGAGUCUGUAUUUUGAUGAUGCAUGUCCGCAAAAUUAUUAAAACAAAUAUAUAUAUAUAUAUAUGCAUAUUUAAUAGUAAAGUACUUUUAACCUAAAUUUUGAUACUCGGGAUCCCGAUCCAUAUGUUUAUUAAUAUAUAAAUUAUUAAAGUUAA
Long non-coding RNA from Cannabis sativa, 439 nucleotides. RefSeq lists it as uncharacterized. The record is from RefSeq and is a predicted model, not a curated record. NCBI's taxonomy places the organism in Eukaryota, Viridiplantae, Streptophyta, Magnoliopsida, Rosales, Cannabaceae. The transcript is spliced from 2 exons.